RNAcentral lists this long non-coding RNA (338 nucleotides) under Salmo salar (Atlantic salmon). RNAcentral describes it as "lncRNA (ENSSSAG00000102778.1)". Lineage: Eukaryota; Metazoa; Chordata; Actinopteri; Salmoniformes; Salmonidae. The record is from RNAcentral.
GCUCAUCAUAUGGCAGUUUUACCACACUUCCAUGUAGGCUCAUCAUAUGGCAGUUUACCAGUUUUACUACACUUCCAUGUAGGCUCAUCAUAUGGCAGUUUACCAGUUUUACUACACUUCCAUGUAGGCUCAUCAUAUGGCAGUUUACCAGUUUUACCACACUUCCAUGUAGGCUCAUCAUAUGGCAGUUUACCAGUUUUACUACACUUCCAUGUAGGCUCAUCAAAUGGCAGUUUACCAGUUUUACUACACUUCCAUGUAGGCUCAUCAAAUGGCAGUUUACCAGUUUUACUACACUUCCAUGUAGGCUCAUCAUAUGGCAGUUUACCAGUUUUACC